Molecule: ribosomal RNA, 251 nt
Filed under: uncultured bacterium
Lineage: Bacteria
Description: partial 16S ribosomal RNA
Rfam family: Bacterial small subunit ribosomal RNA
Source: RNAcentral
UACGAAGGGGGCUAGCGUUGCUCGGAAUUACUGGGCGUAAAGCGUGCGCAGGCGGUUGUGCAAGACAGAUGUGAAAUCCCCGGGCUUAACCUGGGAAUUGCAUUUGUGACUGCACGGCUAGAGUGUGUCAGAGGGGGUAGAAUUCCACGUGUGAGCAGUGAAAUGCGUAGAUAUGUGGAGGAAUACCGAUGGCGAAGGCAGCCCCCUGGGAUAACACUGACGCUCAUGCACGAAAGCGUGGGAGCAACAGG